RNAcentral lists this ribosomal RNA (253 nucleotides) under uncultured bacterium. RNAcentral's name for it is "partial 16S ribosomal RNA". It matches the Rfam family "Bacterial small subunit ribosomal RNA", at positions 524 to 776 of the family's 1533-position model. The record is from RNAcentral.
UACGUAGGGUGCGAGCGUUAAUCGGAAUUACUGGGCGUAAAGGGUGCGCAGGCGGUUAUACAAGACGGAUGUGAAAUCCCCGGGCUCAACCUGGGAAUGGCAUUCGUGACUGUAUAGCUAGAGUGUGUUAGAGGGGGGUAGAAUUCCACGUGUAGCAGUGAAAUGCGUAGAUAUGUGGAGGAAUACCGAUGGCGAAGGCAGCCCCCUGGGAUAACACUGACGCUCAUGCACGAAAGCGUGGGGAGCAAACAGG